AUUAAACCUGUGAAGAGGCUAGUAAUAAUAAUUACAAUUUUAGAGAGUCAGUGGAUGGUGUAAACUGAUAUUUAGUUAUUAUGAAUCCACCUUGGAGGGACUGUGAUGAGCAGUACGGGAAACCGUUAAAUUAUUUAAGUGGAUAGAUUUUUCUAUCAAUUAGGGUGGCAACGCGGAGUCUUUCGUCCCUUUU
RNAcentral lists this non-coding RNA (193 nucleotides) under Clostridium paraputrificum. Its description in RNAcentral is "T-box sequence". It matches the Rfam family "T-box leader". Rfam says of the family: Uncharged tRNA acts as the effector for transcription antitermination of genes in the T-box leader family. Lineage: Bacteria; Bacillati; Bacillota; Clostridia; Eubacteriales; Clostridiaceae. The record is from RNAcentral.